UGGGGAGAGAUUAAAUGUCCAGCAAACGACGGCAAUGUUGCCAGAUUCCUUUUAGCGGGAAUUUUAAAAUGGUUUUAAAUUUGACAGUUCUGUUUUCUCAAGUCAAAGUCAAAAAUCUUAACCUUACUUUUACAAGUGAUUAGGAUUAUUAUUAUUUUAUUUACAUGUAAAUUGAAACAAUAAAUAUUGUGCUGUGUCAUAAUUUCAAACUCAUUAUGUUGCAGUCUUUUCCAGUUGAUAAAAUUGCAAUUCAAAAACUUUAGAUUUGCACUGUAUGGAUGAUGGCACAGGAAGAGAACAAGAGUACAAGAACAUGAAACAUCUUAUUAUGAAUGUAUAUGUAUGUGAUCCUCAAAAAAUUAUUUUACAAAACAAGAUAGAGAAAGAGCUUUAAAAUCCCAAGGAUCCUGCAAUUUUUAUUUGGUGUACUAGUCGAAUAAUAGUAUCUAAAAAUAUUGAAACUAUUUUAAAACAUAUUACGGACACGAGGAUGAUAUAGAGCACUUACAUAAAUACCAAAAUCAGAUAAACAUCUCUUCAAAGUUUAUUUUGAGACUUUCUUCAAAAAUUAAACUUCAGACUGUUCAGGAUAGCAUAAUAGCAUAGGAGGCGAAUUAAAAAGAAUUAACUUACUUACAAGAAAAGAUAUCACAAACAUUAGACUCUCUUAUGGCAUUGAUUUGAAAGAUGGGUAUAUGUACAAUGACGAUGCAACCAGUGUUUAUUUUUGGGUUGAAUGCUUACAGACUCAUGUCCAAUAUUAUUUUACAAACAACAGGGCAUACUAAUGGAUAUUCAUUCUGAAUUUAACAUUUAUGAUUUUUGUCUUAUUUUCCUUAAUACUGUGCCAAAAGGAAAUGUUAAUUAAGUUUGGUAAAUCCUUUAUCGCAAUCGAUGGAACUCAUGGGCUCAAUUCCUAUGACUUUGAACUUAUGACAGUAUUAGUAAAAGAUGAAUUUGGGAAUGGAUUUUGUACUGCUUUCUUAUUUUCAAAUAGAAAAGAUACCUACUUUAAUUUACCAAUUUUUUUAAAUACAUGUCUGUGUUGGUAUUAUAUGUAUAGUCAAAUGUUUUCAUAUCGGGCAUAAGUGACACCUUUUACAAUGCCUCGUCAAAUGUAAUGGGUAUUGCUCCUAAUAGACUGUUAAGUGCCUGGCACAUAAAUAGGGCAUGGUAAGUAAAUCUUGAAUAAAAUAUCUGAUUCUGAAAAAAAUCCUAUUAUGUAUACAAGAUGUAUUAAUGAUGGUUUAGAGAGUAUUAAUAGCUUUUUGGGUAGACUUCUAAGUGAUGCAGAUACAUACAAUUUUAGUAAGUAUUUCCAGUAGAACUACUGCAAUAACAUCCAACAAUGGGCGUAUUGUUAUAGGAAGGGGUUGUGGAAUUAAUACCAAUAUGACCAUUCAAAAUUUUCAUAAAAUUUUGGAUAAAAGGGUAUCCAUUAGUUGUUAUCAGUUAAGUUUAAAACUUGGCACUCAUGGAGAGCUAUACCAUAAUAUAUAAUAGGUAUAUCUCAUAAUAUUACAUCUCAUAUUGCUCACUCAUUACAAUAGUGAGCAAUAUGAGAUAUAACAUAUUAUAGUAUAAGUCUCUGUGCAUGACCAGAUUAACAUGUUUGGUGCCCAUCUCAAACAAGCUCCACUUGGCUGGUACCACAUACUUAAAUCAUUUAUUUAGUUACACAGUACUACUCACAUAACUUAUGUGUCGUCAGUACCUUCCGUAAAACCUUCGUGAUGCUACCCAUACGUCAUGGCCACUGAAUGUGUUAAAGCUUGUUAAUGUAGGAGAGUUAUACUAAAAUAUAUAUCUUAUAUUAUAUUGCCUUAAAUAGAAAAAAUAUCUUAUUUAAAUUGUAUCCAUGUAAGUUUUGAUUUAAUGAAAUAAACCUUUUAAUCAAAAAAGUGUUGUUUACUUGUGUACACCCAGCAAUAUCCUGAUCAUAGAUAAAUAAUAAUAUAGUAUUACCGGAUCCUGAUAUGCAGACGCCAAUAGGGCUUUUCAUUGAUUGUCAUUUGUUUCGAGCUUCUGUCAUGAGUCACAUAAUAUUAAUGUAUCUACGUCAUA
This 2064-nucleotide long non-coding RNA is filed under the name Diabrotica virgifera virgifera (western corn rootworm). RNAcentral describes it as "uncharacterized LOC126883493". Lineage: Eukaryota; Metazoa; Arthropoda; Insecta; Coleoptera; Chrysomelidae. The record is from RNAcentral.